AAGUCGUAACAAGGUUUCCGUAGGUGAACCUGCGGAAGGAUCAUUAACAAUCUAAUCUUAUCUGGCGAAGCAGAUUUGCGGAUGUGCUGAUUGGGAUCAAUUCACCGGCUUCGGAUAACCUCCGGGUGAGUGUGGGUUUCUCAGUUUAGUGCUUCAUGCAAGGAUGCUAGCUAGGCACGCUUGGCAAAAUCUGUGUCUCUAGAGAUUCAUUUCUUUAGAGAUGCAUAAUAAACAAGUAACCUGGGGUACUUUAAGAUGAAGUGCUUUACUGUGCUUUGUCUUAGAGCCCUUCUAAUAAUCCCUAUUUUACCAUUUUACCCCUUGAUAAACUAUAAGACUGAUAUGACAUGAUAAAUGUCAAACUUAAAACUAUGAAACAACUCUUAACAAUGGAUAUCUAGGCUCUG
RNAcentral lists this unclassified non-coding RNA (407 nucleotides) under fungal sp. RNAcentral's name for it is "partial internal transcribed spacer region". The stretch from base 1 to 46 matches the Rfam family "Eukaryotic small subunit ribosomal RNA", at positions 1786 to 1831 of the family's 1831-position model. Lineage: Eukaryota; Fungi. The record is from RNAcentral.